UCCCUUGACGGUACUUAAUGAAUAAGCCCUGGCUAAUUAUGUGCCAGCAGCCGCGGUAAUACAUAAGGGGCGAGCGUUAUCCGGAAUUAUUGGGCGUAAAGGGUGCGUAGGCGGUUUAAUAAGUCUAUAGUUUAAUUUCAGCGCUUAACGCUGUUGCGCUAUAGAAACUGUUUUACUAGAGUGAGUUAGAGGCAAGCGGAAUUCCAUGUGUAGCGGUAAAAUGCGUAAAUAUAUGGAGGAACACCAGAGGCGUAGGCGGCUUGCUGGGACUUUACUGACGCUGAGGCACGAAAGCGUGGGGAGCAAACAGGAUUAGAUACCCUGGUAGUCCACGCCGUAAACGAUGAGUACUAAGUGUCGGGUAAAACCGGUACUGAAGUUAACACAUUAAGUACUCCGCCUGAGUAGUACGUACGCAAGUAUGAAACUUAAAGGAAUUGACGGGACUCCGCACAAGCGGUGGAUCAUGUUGUUUAAUUCGAAGAUACACGAAAAACCUUACCAGGUCUUGACAUUUUCUUGCGAAGUUAUAGAAAUAUAAUGGAGGUUAUCAGGAAAACAGGUGGUGCAUGGUUGUCGUCAGCUCGUGUCGUGAGAUGUUAGGUUAAGUCCUAAAACGAGCGCAACCCUUGUCGUUAAUUGCCAGCAUGUAAUGAUGGGGACUUUAACGAGACUGCCAAUGAAAAAUUGGAGGAAGGUGGGGAUUACGUCAAAUCAUCAUGCCCCUUAUGAUCUGGGCUACAAACGUGAUACAAUGGUUGAUACAAAGAGUAGCUGAAACGCGAGUUCUUAGCCAAUCUCACAAAAUCAUCCUAC
Molecule: ribosomal RNA, 816 nt
Filed under: Cassava frogskin disease phytoplasma
Lineage: Bacteria; Bacillati; Mycoplasmatota; Mollicutes; Acholeplasmatales; Acholeplasmataceae
Description: bacterial SSU rRNA
Rfam family: Bacterial small subunit ribosomal RNA
Source: RNAcentral